Molecule: long non-coding RNA, 266 nt
Organism: Aedes aegypti (yellow fever mosquito)
Lineage: Eukaryota; Metazoa; Arthropoda; Insecta; Diptera; Culicidae
Exons: 2
Source: RefSeq, a predicted model, not a curated record
GCCAGUUUCUCACGAAUCCAAUCGAACGGGCUGUAGUUUUGUACCUACUGUCUUUUUGGACUGUUUCAAGGAAAAUGUUUUCAUGAACUGCCCAAAACAAAAAUGGAUUAACGUUCCCGAGUGUAAUGCCCUUAGAUCGAAAAUCUCUUCCGGAUGUACCUUCAAUGCUAUCAAGGGCUAUUCAAACAGUACACAUUUUUGAUUGGAAUUGCAUACCUAUGCAGAAAAAUGCUGAGGAAUAAACUCUCAAAUUAAUCCGCUCCAUA